UACGUAGGGUGCGAGCGUUACUCGGAAUUACUGGGCGUAAAGCGUGCGCAGGCGGUUUUGUAAGCCAGAUGUGAAAUCCCCGGGCUUAACCUGGGAAUGGCAUUUGGGACUGCAAGGCUUGAGUGCGGCAGAGGAGACUGGAAUUCCUGGUGUAGCAGUGAAAUGCGUAGAUAUCAGGAGGAAUACCGAUGACGAAGGCAGGUCUCUGGGCUGACACUGACGCUCAUGCACGAAAGCGUGGGGAGCAAACAGG
RNAcentral lists this ribosomal RNA (253 nucleotides) under uncultured bacterium. RNAcentral's name for it is "partial 16S ribosomal RNA". It matches the Rfam family "Bacterial small subunit ribosomal RNA", at positions 524 to 776 of the family's 1533-position model. The record is from RNAcentral.